CCAGGUCUUGACAUACUCGUGCUAUCCUUAGAGAUAAGGAGUUCCUUCGGGACACGGGAUACAGGUGGUGCAUGGUUGUCGUCAGCUCGUGUCGUGAGAUGUUGGGUUAAGUCCCGCAACGAGCGCAACCCUUAUUACUAGUUGCCAUCAUUAAGUUGGGCACUCUAGUGAGACUGCAGGUGAUAAACCGGAGGAAGGUGGGGAUGACGUCAAAUCAUCAUGCCCCUUAUGACCUGGGCUACACACGUGCUACAAUGGAUGGUACAACGAGUCGCCAACCCGCGAGGGUGCGCUAAAUCUCUUAAAACCAUUCUCAGUUCGGAUUGCAGGCUGCAACUCGCCUGCAUGAAGUCGGAAUCGCUAGUAAUCGCGGAUCAGCACGCCGCGGUGAAUACGUU
This 398-nucleotide ribosomal RNA is filed under the name Lactococcus garvieae. RNAcentral describes it as "bacterial SSU rRNA". It matches the Rfam family "Bacterial small subunit ribosomal RNA", at positions 974 to 1372 of the family's 1533-position model. The record is from RNAcentral. Lineage: Bacteria; Bacillati; Bacillota; Bacilli; Lactobacillales; Streptococcaceae.